Molecule: ribosomal RNA, 465 nt
Filed under: uncultured bacterium
Lineage: Bacteria
Description: bacterial SSU rRNA
Rfam family: Bacterial small subunit ribosomal RNA
Source: RNAcentral
CCUACGGGGGGCAGCAGUAGGGAAUCUUCCGCAAUGGACGAAAGUCUGACGGAGCAACGCCGCGUGAGCGAAGAAGGUCUUAGGAUCGUAAAGCUCUGUUGUUAGGGAAGAACAAGUACGGGAGGAAAUGACCGUACCUUGACGGUACCUAAGGAGGAAACCACGGCUAGCUACGGGCCAGGAUCCGCGGUAAUCCGUAGGGGGCAAGCGGUAUCCGGAAUUAUUGGGCGUAAAGCACGCGCAGGCGGUCUUGUAAGUCUGAUGUGCAUUCUUCCGGCUCAACCGCAAGCGUGCAUUGGAAACUGGGAGACUUGAGUUCCGAAGAGGAAAGCGGAAUUCAACGUGUAGCGGUGAACUGCGUAGAGGUGGGGCAGAACACCAGUGGCGAAGGCGGCUUUCUGGUCUGUAACUGACGCUGAGGCGCGAAAGCGUGGGGAGCAAACAGGAUUAGAUACCCCUGUAGUC